RNAcentral lists this ribosomal RNA (531 nucleotides) under uncultured bacterium. RNAcentral's name for it is "partial 16S ribosomal RNA". It matches the Rfam family "Bacterial small subunit ribosomal RNA", at positions 355 to 874 of the family's 1533-position model. The record is from RNAcentral.
UGGGGAAUAUUGGACAAUGGGCGAAAGCCUGAUCCAGCCAUGCCGCGUGUGUGAAGAAGGUCUUCGGAUUGUAAAGCACUUUAAGUUGGGAGGAAGGGCAGUAAAUUAAUACUUUGCUGUUUUGACGUUACCGACAGAAUAAGCACCGGCUAACUCUGUGCCAGCAGCCGCGGUAAUACAGAGGGUGCAAGCGUUAAUCGGAAUUACUGGGCGUAAAGCGCGCGUAGGUGGUUCGUUAAGUUGGAUGUGAAAUCCCCGGGCUCAACCUGGGAACUGCAUUCAAAACUGACGAGCUAGAGUAUGGUAGAGGGUGGUGGAAUUUCCUGUGUAGCGGUGAAAUGCGUAGAUAUAGGAAGGAACACCGGUGGCGAAGGCGACCACCUGGACUGAUACUGACACUGAGGUGCGAAAAGCGUGGGGAGCAAAACAGGAUUAGAUACCCUGGUAGUCCACGCCGUAAAACGAUGUCAACUAGCCGUUGGGAGCCUUGAGCUCUUAGUGGCGCAGCUAAACGCAUUAAGUUGACCGCCU